This 200-nucleotide ribosomal RNA is filed under the name uncultured bacterium. RNAcentral describes it as "partial 16S ribosomal RNA". It matches the Rfam family "Bacterial small subunit ribosomal RNA", at positions 8 to 222 of the family's 1533-position model. The record is from RNAcentral.
AGAGUUUGAUCAUGGCUCAGAAUCAACGCUGGCGGCGUGCCUAACACAUGCAAGUCGAACGAGAAAGGGGAGCAAUCCCUGAGUACAGUGGCGACCGGGUGAGUAACACGUGACUAACCUACCCUCGAGUGUGGAAUAACAUCGGGAAACCGAUGCUAAUACCGCAUAACAUCGCAAGAUCAAAGGAGCAAUCCGCUUGA